RNAcentral lists this ribosomal RNA (933 nucleotides) under Triticum aestivum (bread wheat). RNAcentral's name for it is "partial small subunit ribosomal RNA". Lineage: Eukaryota; Viridiplantae; Streptophyta; Magnoliopsida; Poales; Poaceae. The record is from RNAcentral.
GACCCUGUUGAAGUCUCUGGAUUUCACGAGAAAGUUGUACAAAUUUCAGCUGGCAACCAUCAUUCUUGUGCAGUAACAGCCGAUGGUGAGCUCUUCGUUUGGGGCAAAAAUUCGAGUGGCCAGCUUGGCCUUGGCAAAAGUGCAGGAAAAGUAGUCUCUACCCCAAGAAAGGUUGACUACUUGGCUGAUGUUAGAGUGAAAAUGACUGCUUUGGGAUCAGAGCACUCAAUUGUUGUUACAGAGGAUGGUGAAGCCUUGAGUUGGGGAGCUGCUGGUGCUGGUAGACUUGGACAUGGCCAUAAAUCUAGCUUCCUGGGAUUCGCUAUGACCUCAAAUGAAUAUACUCCAAGGUUGAUAAAAAACCUUGAUGGUAUCAAGAUUAAAAGGAUAGCUGCGGGAAUGCUGCACUCAGCUUGCAUUGAUGAAAAAGGUACUGUGUUCAUGUUUGGGCAGAAGACUGAGAAGGUACUUGGAAGAUCAAAUGAUGCACCUAGACCAAGUGCUGUUGAAGAGAUACAAUUUUCAGAAGAAGUUGCUUGUGGAGGUUAUCAUACUUGCGCCGUAACAGAUCGUGGAGAUUUGUACUCUUGGGGUUCAAAUGAAAAUGGCUGCCUUGGUCUUGGAGGUACAGGCAUGGUUCGCUUCCCAGAAGUUGUAAGAAGUUCAUUAUUUAAGCUUCCUGUAUCUAAGGUAUCCUGUGGUUGGAAGCACACAGCUGCAAUUUCAGGUGAAGAUAUCUACACGUGGGGCUGGGGAGGUGCCAACGGUACCUUCUUCGAAGAGGGCCAUUCUUCUGGCGGGCAAUUAGGGCAUGGAAACGAUGUCGACUAUUGUGAGCCGAUGAUGGUAGAACUUGGCAAGAAUGCAAGUGCUGUUCAUGUAUCAUGUGGCUUCAAUCAUACAGGCGCGAUACUCGAGUACGCGGAAAACUGA